UACGAAGGGGGCUAGCGUUGUUCGGAAUUAUUGGGCGUAAAGAGCUCGUAGGCGGUGUGUCACGUCGGCCGUGAAAACCUGGGGCUUAACUCUGGGCGUGCGGUCGAUACGGGCAUCACUGGAGUUCGGCAGGGGAGACUGGAAUUCCUGGUGUAGCGGUGAAAUGCGCAGAUAUCAGGAGGAACACCGGUGGCGAAGGCGGGUCUCUGGGCCGAUACUGACGCUGAGGAGCGAAAGCAUGGGGAGCGAACAGG
This 254-nucleotide ribosomal RNA is filed under the name uncultured bacterium. RNAcentral describes it as "partial 16S ribosomal RNA". It matches the Rfam family "Bacterial small subunit ribosomal RNA", at positions 524 to 776 of the family's 1533-position model. The record is from RNAcentral.